RNA transcript from Adelges cooleyi (spruce gall adelgid), 1240 nucleotides. RefSeq lists it as uncharacterized. The transcript has 8 exons. NCBI's taxonomy places the organism in Eukaryota, Metazoa, Arthropoda, Insecta, Hemiptera, Adelgidae. The record is from RefSeq and is a predicted model, not a curated record.
GUCACAAAACUAACUACAUAAAGUCAAACCGAUCAUAAACUGUACUAGUGAUUUUUUGAGUUUCUCACACAUAACUCAACCUAUAAGGUUUAUCAAACAACUACAAAGUAUUUUUUGGUAAUCAACUCAAACAUGCGUCUUCGUUGUGUCGUGUUGUUUGCAAUUUAUUCCUUUGGCCUCAUCAUUUUAUUAGAUGCUAAGUGUGCCCUGGAAGAUAAAUCCAAAGAGCUGCAGUUUUUGAAGCAGUACGAGGUGGCGGAAAAGGAGUGGAAGUACCAGGAUUGUGACGAAAAUAAUUUCGUGGAGUUAACCUAUCCACCUCUAGUUAAUCUUAAACGCAGGCUUCUUGAGGCUAAUUUAACCAGAUUUUUUUUAUUCGAUAACAGUACUGGUCGUUAUAACACAAGCAAAUUAGAUCCAAAUUAUCUUGUUACCCUUUGGAGAGAACAACAGAUAAUAGUUGUCUAUGGAGAAUGUCAAGUAGCAAGCAAACUAUUGAUAAGUGUUGCAAAAUUUAUGGUUCUCGGAUUAAUGAAUGAUGAACUAAUAAAUAAUGGUGAGUCCAUCAUAACCAUGGAAGGAGUGGAUAUUUUAUGGGAAAAUACUCAGGAAUUCACAGGCGAUGAAAAAGAGAGACUUCUAAAUCAAAUAAAAGUGGAAAUGACUAUUAUGCUAGGACUGCCGGGUAAUAAAUGUUUUUAGCAAGUUAUGAAAUUACUUCAACAUUCGAUAAGAUUCGAUAUUGAUUAAAUAUAAAAUGUUUCAGUUUUAUUUUCAAAAACCAAAUCUCUGACGAUACAAUGCGUGACAGGACAACUUGCCAACGUCUUAUCGUGAUCACAUAUAUAUUCUGUUACAGGUGUCGAAGCACCUCAGAUAAACGAAGGUAACCACUAAUCACAGUUUUACAUGUAUAUUUAUAGAGGUACAGCUUGGUUAAUUAUGAACAAGUUCAACCAAAAAUGGGCAAGUUUUUGUUUUAGAAAUUCUGAGACUAGUCUCAUUGCUACGCUCAAAAAAUGGAAAUACAAAAACAAUUUUCAGGGUGAAAAAGAUCCAGAUUUUGCAAUUUAUCUCAAUAUGCGUCAUUUAAUAGGUUUAUUCAGAGUAAUUGAAAAUCUAACUUUAUAUAUAGUAACUUCUGGUAUCGAUGGUGUAAAUUGUUGUAUAUCGGCUAUAAACCGCAUAUACUUCAAAUACAGAUACUUUGAUGGAAAUUAUUAUGAAGUUGACAAUUAUG